UCAUCUGCUCAUCAACACCCGUGCUCACCUGCGUUCCAGCGAUCGGCCCGGAGACGUAGGAAGUCAAGGUGAAGUCGGCGGCUAGCGCGUCUGCGCUCCAACAAAGUCCUCCUGGUUGUGUUGCUGUAGUCCGCUGCUAAUACACCGAUCCCACAUACAACUGUCUUCUUUGCAGCCUUCAUUGUUCAUUAAACAAAUUGCAAAAGAUGUCCAGAAUACUGUGGAAUUAUGAAAUGAAAACAGAGCUUUUUGUAUAGGAUUCUACGGGUACCAUAACUUCCGUUAAACUGACUUCGUCACGCGCAUACGUCAUCAUACCGCCACGUUUCAGCCGGAUAUUUCCCGGGAAGUUAUAAAUGUCACUUUAUAAGUUAACCCGGCCGUAUUGGCAUGUGUUGCAAUGUUAAAAUUUCAUCAUUGAUAUAUAAACUAUCAGACUGCGUGGUCGCUAGUAGUGGCUUUCAGUAGGCCUUUAACCCUGAACGUACAUUGAAAAUACACGCAACCCUAACUCAAAAUGCCGGACAUUUGAGGCAUUUAAGAAACUCCGCCCUGACAGCUCCGCAAAAGAGGACAUGUCCGGUGAAAAGAUGACUAAUGGUCAGUCUAUCCUAGCCCGUUAGCUGCUAGCAUGCCGUGUGUUGUGCCUCGGUGUGAAUUGUUUACACAACAAGCGUUACGCUACUUAAUAUGUCCAUGUGGAAACUCGUUCGGUACAACACCGAACUGAACCGAAACCCCCGUACCGAAACGGUUCGAUACAAAUAUACGUACCGUUACUUACACCCCUAGCAAAAACACAAAAUGUGCAAUAAUUUCUCCCAAAAAGUGGAAUAUUUGCUGUGAAUUAAUUGCCGCCUUAAACAGGUCAAUCAUUCAUAACAACAUUGAUUUAAAAAAAAUCAACAAAAAAAUGAUCCCUAGUCAUAAAAGUGUAAAAAAAAAAAAGUAAUGCGUUUUUUUUCUUUCAGCUCUUAAAGCUCCACUUUACAACUUUCACUUUUGGUUGAUUUGCCAGAAGAAGACCACAGUUCCCAUGAUGCCUAGCGCACGUAGCGUCACACUGACAGGAUGUAGUAUUCUGCCUCCAGUGGCUGAUAUUAAAAAUCCGACAUUGGAUUGUUCUACAAACAUGACGCUCCUACCAAGAAUGUACCGGGGCAGAUGCAGGUCCCAAGCAAAGAAAGACCGGCAGGAGAGUUUUUUUUCUAAGGAAGUAGUCGUGGAACUAUCACGCUGGUGCCUAUUUAUUGCUACCACGCACAUUUCCGAUUGCUAACAUUAGCAUCAUUUUGAUUUGAGCAUGGAAAGUCACUUAGUAGUCCAGCAGGAACAUCAGCAUCGCUCUGAAAUUCCUGCUCUCUCAGCUCAGGCCAGCCAGUGAAAGCCAGGGCAAUGUUGAUCCUGACUGUAAGCUCCCUUUUUCUUUUUGGUCUCCUCAGACAAAACUUUUCCUUUCUUUGGUUGUUUUGGAGUUUCGGCCAUGAGAGCAGUAAUUACAAGUAGGCGUUCUUCCUUAGGCCAUGACACAACUAGUUGUAUCAUCUCAAAAGUUAUACAAAUAUGUUGAAAAAAGUCACGUAGUGCAGCUUUAAGUCUCUAAUUCAGCUUCAGAGUUUGCCAUCGAUUUUUAAAAAUGAUUUUAAUUUUUCAUUUAAAAAACAACUUUAUUUUCUAUAUGGCAUACCCACAAAAACAAUUCAAAUUGGUUAUUAGAGUCAACAUGGCAACUUUUUAUCGUUACAUUUCACCUUUUUUGCUCUUUCAUUCCACUUUUUGAUGAUUUAUUUAAACAUUUUUAGAAUGUGUGGCCGGCCGGUAAGAACUAGCUGCCCCCGGUGCACACUUUACCUUCAACACUAGAUCCACUUCACAUAUACCUGUCCAUUACAACCAGUUAUUCAGAUAUAUCUGCCCAUUAGAACCAGUUAUUCACAUAUAUCUGUCCAUUAGAACCAGUUAUUCACAUAUAUCUGUCCAUUAGAACCAGUUAUUCACAUUUAUCUGUCCAUUAGAACCAGUUAUUCACAUAUAUCUGUCCAUUAGAACCAGUUAUUCACAUUUAUCUGUCCUUUAGAACCAGUUAUUCAGAUACAUCUGUCCAUUAGAACCAGUUAUUCACAUAUAUCUGUCCUUAACAACCAGUUAUUCAGAUAUAUAUGCCCAUUAGAACCAGUUAUUCAGAUAUAUCUGCCCAUUAGAACCAGUUAUUCAGAUAUAUCUGCCCAUUAGAACCAGUUAUUCAGAUAUAUCUGUCCAUUAGAACCAGUUAUUCAGAUACAACUGCCCAUUAGAACCAGUACUCAGUAUUCAGAUAAAUAUGUCCAUUAGAACCAGUACUCAGUAUUCAGAUAUAUCUGUCCAUUAGAACCAGUACUCAGUAUUCAGAUAUAUCUGCCCAUUAGAACCAGUACUCAGUAUUCAGAUAAAUAUGUCCAUUAGAACCAGUACUCAGUAUUCAGAUAUAUCUGUCCAUUAGAAGUUGUUAUUCUUCAGGCCCGAGCAGCGGAGCAAGCACCGCAGGGGCCUUAUUUAUUAUUGUUAUUAUUAUUUAGAUGCCUUUUUGAAGCCCUUAACAUCCAUGAAAACUCUUAUCAGGGUCGGUGAAAAUGUUUAUAAUUUGGGGGUGCCGAAAAUGACAUUUCAAAAUUGUCUCUCCAAUAUUUUUCUUUGUUUUAUGCUCUUUUUUUUUUCAAUGAACAUUUUUUUUUAUGUGGCAAACACACUAUUUUCCUAAUGAAUGAAUUGGAGCCAUGAAUAGUUGAUAGUAUUUGUAGAAAAGUUUGGACGCCCCUGCAAAGAUGAGAUAGUUGACCUGCAGUGACGUGUCAAACCUCAACCAGAAGGGAUUUCCCAGUCAAUAAGUCCACUGCCAGGUGUCUCCAUCCAGUACCAGUACCAGUACCAGUACCAGAACCUCCUUGUGUGUGUGCAGUGAAACACUGCAAUAUACUCCACCAUAUACAGCACAUAUAUUAUUCUCUCUAUAUAUGAAUAUAUACAUAUUUAGCGUUGACAUAUGAAUGUAUGAGCAAGGUGUCUGUAACGUGUCUUAUAUUCUCCAACCAUCACAUGACCUAUACGACUACAUGUGAUGUGCAUGUCUGUGAUCGUCACUAAACCAUAUUUGUGCGUUGACGCUCAGGCACAGGUGGCAGUCCGGCUUGUUGUCAUCCCAGGGUGCCCCACUAGGGGGCGCUCUCACGUCCGUCCAGAUCGCCCGGCUCGUUUGGUAGACGGCCAGCUAAAUGUGUUCCGGUGGUUCAGACCCGACUAAUGGCUGCCAGAUGCCUUGGCUGAGGUGUAGCCAUGCGUGGGGAGGUCAAGUGGAGCUGCAGGGAGAAUACUACCAUGUUGGGGUGGGGCGCACCGUGUCCUUUGGCCAACCCCUGUUGUUUGUUGGAACACACUCAUGGUGACCCAGAGACCACACAAAGUUAGAUGGACUAUCAGCAACAACACAGUGGUACCUCGCUUCUUCUUAGCCUUUUCUUCCAACAGCUCCGAAAAACCUUAGAAAUAAUGUAAUCCGUUCCAAAAACCCCCACAUUUGAUUUAUAGCAAUAGAAAUAAUGUAUUCAUCCGUUCCAAAAACCCCCACAUUUGAUUUAUAGCAGAGGUUCUCAACCUGUUUGACCAAACAUUUCCACUACAGUUGGACUCAAAUACUAACACUGAAUUAGUCAUCUACCACCUUCAUUUAUUGUGUCUAAACUACUUUCAGUUUACCAGAGUAAGUUCAUCUUAAAGAUGAUUUUGUUAUCUAACAAACAAACCUUAGGCUUAGGUCAGGCUGAUUUCAAUAAUACAUACUAGUCAAAUUUCUGCAAAAGAAGAGACUCCUAAAAACUGAUGGAAAAUACAUUUACAUGCCAUUACGCAGUGCUAAAAUUGAUGAAUUCUAACUAAUUAGUGAUCAAUAAUAAUGAUGUAUUUCUUCAGUAAACUGUCGAUAAAAUUAAAAUGCAAAAUAAAAUACAGCUUCACCACUUUAGUCAUCAUUUUUGCGCUUAAAAACAUCUCUGACUUUAGCGCCAGAUUUCUUCUGUUUGUUUUGAUAUUGUCAUUACUGCCACAAGUGGUGGGAAAGUGUAUUACAACCGCUGAGAAACAUUUUCAGCUGGUUAAGAAACAUUUAUUUAUAGAAUAUCAUUAGUUUUACACGCAGAAAACAAUAUACAUGUGUCAUGAUACAUGAAAGACUCUAGUUGGCGAAGAGGGGAAGGAAGAGCCUCAUUUUUGUAUUUUGAUAUGACUUUUUCUAUUAGUGUUUCUCACCAUCUUUUUCAAAGUGCUGGCACUCACAACAUUAUUUGGCCCUAAGGUGGAUUAUUUUGCAGUGGAAAAUAGAAUCCUACAAAAAAAAGGUUCCACUGUACCCCAAAUUGAAAACAGUCUUAAUGCAAAAGAAGAGCAGGAUACAUUUUAAUCUCUUUAAUGAGCUGUUUGCUACCUUUACUUGGAUGCCUACAGCUAAUGAUAGCUAUUUGGCUAGUUUUAGCUCCAAACGUUAGCGAUCAUUGACUGUAUGGCAACAAACUGCCAUACAGUGAAACUUUAUCAGCAUAUACCUGCUUUAAUUUGGUCAAUAUCCAUAAAUGUUGGUAUUUUGGGUUAGGGUUGUCCCAAUACCAGUAUUUACAUACUUUUCAAAAUAAAGGGGAUCAAAUGCAUUUUUGGCUUAAUUUUGACCAAAAAUCUUACAACACAUUAAACAUUCUGCUAAUUGCGCUCAAAGAACAAUUUUAGAAGAUUAAAAUGCAUUAAACACGCUGAGCUUUUCCUGUUGCACUCAAAGAACAAUUGUAUUUAUUACAUAUAGUCUGCCAUAAUCUAGGACAGGGGUGGGCAAUUAAUCUUUACCGGGGGCCGCAUGAGCAACCCGAGCACUGCUGGAGGGCCACACUGACAAUAUUUCAAUUAAAUUUUGCUCAAAUUAUUUUUGAUAUACCGUAAGAUAAAUAAUAUAAUAAUAAUAAUUUCAUUCAACCUAACUUAAUUUUAUACAAAAGCAGAUGGCUUUUGAUGGUUUUAUUUGUAACACUGUCUUACACAACACUUCCUGAUGUAUAAUACAAUGCAAAAAUGUCCAUUUCUGUCACUUUAUCCUGCAUCCUCUUUAAAAGUCCAACAUUUUAUUUGGACAACCAUCUGUUGUCACACCUGCCAGCUUGUCCCAUUUCAGUCCCAACAUGUCCAAACACGCAUUUACCUAUGUGAACAAGUCAUUACCUGUGGUUGUCUCUUUAAUUGACUGCAUGGCUGCCAGCUCCUCCGUGAUUUGAAAGUCUGCAGUUGUCCCACGUAAGAAGAUGAGCAGCUGGGCGGUGUCACGUACAUCGCAGCUCUCAUCCAAAGCCAGAGAAAAACAGUCAAAGUCGGCCGUUCUGUUCUUCAGCUGAAGCUCCAAGUUUCCAGCCAUGGUCUCAACCCGCCUCGUUACAGUGCGUCGGGAGAGUGACACGUUCUCAAAUGAUUAGCCUCACGCGGGCCUGACAGGGACGCACAAAGGGCCGGAUGUGGCCCGCGGGCUGUAAAAUGCUCAGUUAGAAUAGCUAAAAAAUAUUUACUGAUAUUGCAUUAAAUGCUUCAUCAUUUAUGUUUGCCACUCUUGGUCUGUGCUUUAAGACAAAUAAAAUCAUCAGGAAACACUCAAAUCAAUACUAUAGCUAAAAAGUACACAAAUUGUAGCAAGUUGUUAGAGAAUUCAGUCAUUGGACUUGUAUGAGUCUGCGCUACGUGGGCGGUUUGGACCGUACUAACGUUUGCCGUCAAGCUGCGUCUACACAGCAGGGGAGCUAACUACAUAACCUUUAACCCCACUGUGCAGGUCUCCAUCAUUGUUAUACAAAUGUUUGGCUCAGUUUGAAUUAAAGUGUCAGAUUCAAACACUGAUGACAUCUAUUAAACAAGACAAGAAGCAAAGAAUCAAACAGAAACAGAAUUAAAUUUGGACUCAAUUUUGCGGAGAGACGCGGCCACCGUACUCUCUGCACGGUCUUGCACCACGCUCUGCCAAAAGAUGGCACUCCUUUAUUUGACUUUCUCCCCCCACCUGGCCACAGCUGCUUCCAGAGGGAAGUGGGUCGUAAACAGCAUUGCCUUUGGUUAUCGAACAGUUCAAAAAGAGUUCGUAAAUUACUUCGAAAAGAGUUCGUGUGGAAAUUGGGCAGAUCCUGCCAUCUGUCCGCUUUGAAGUCACAGUGGAGUUUUACGAGCCUUCCUCCUGGUAGGCCCCAAAGACAGCCCCCGUCCCCCUGCCAGGAACUCAGUGUAAUACAAAGCUGGAUCAUUUAGAAAUAAUUAUUACAUAAAGAUUGUACUACUUUAAUCAUACCACUUUGGCCAGGCGGAUGAAAAAAAAGGCCUUAUAGUAUCGUUGUCAAUUCAUUAGUACUGCCAUACUUUAUUAGGAGCGCUUCUACCGUACAAGUACAUAUAUAGCUAGGUAUAAAAUGAAUGUUAAACCACUAUUGGCAACAUAAGCUGGUGUUGUUGUUGUAUUUGUGGGUCACUUUGAGCAAGUUACAAACUUCCUUCAUGUCCUGUUAUGUGUUUAUUUUCUCCUCCUCACAAGUCAACACUGCCACCUGCUGUCUGCUCAAUGUAUUGCCUUGUACGCCUUCCGCUGGGUGGAAACGUGAGCCGCGUUCCCGACACGUCGGUCCCGGUGUGCUUGGCGUAACGGCGGCGCCGAGGUAUUGUUGCGAAGCCUUGAAUGUGAAAAGUGUAUGUCGUCCUAUAACCUGCACUGAAAUGGUGAAUUGCUGCAUUUAUGGCUACGUGUCCUGUAAAUAUAAACCUUUGGUGAACUUGUCGCAGGGGCGAUAGGGAAAGUUUCAUGAUUGGUGACGUGCUUUCUUGUUGGACGAGGCGCCCCGUCUUCAUUGUAGGCGCCCCGUCUUAAUUGUAGGCACCCCGUCUUCAUUGUAGGCACCCCGUCUUAAUUGUAGGCACCCCGUCUUCAUUGUAGGCACCCCGUCUUAAUUGUAGGUGCCCCGUCUUCAUUGUAGGCGCCCCGUCUUCAUUGUAGGCGCCCCGUCUUAAUUGUAGGCGCCCCGUCUUCAUUGUAGGCGCCCCGUCUUAAUUGUAGGCGCUGGUUUCCAGCAGGGAGGAUUGGGAAAGCUUCACAUUUUCAAGUUAAGUCGUACGUUUGUUCAUUUGACUCCCAAACAACUUCCCCUGGUUUUUUUUGGAGUACAAAUGUGACGUCUCCUGUGGCCUAAUUUGGACUCAAAGACUGCUUUGUUUGACAAGUGAUACUCCACACUCAUCUGGCUCACCUUUUUUUUCCCCCUCCACCCGAGACUUUUCCCUCAAAGCACCAACAACAUGGCCUUGGAGGCAGACGCCAUCUUGUCCCACUGGUUUUCUAAGAGUCCACUGCCUGUCUUUGUGCUCCUGGACUGACCACCACGCUGCAUAUUUGACCACACGGCAGCCCACCACAAGCCUUACAAGGUGUGUUGUUCGCUUUUGUCUAUUUCACCUCACCACAGGAAGGCAAGGCUUUGUUGAAGUGCACUUGAUUUAAGACCGCAAUCUUCUUUUUCUUAUAUUGGACUUUCAACUUUGUUCAAAAUAAACUGCUGAGUUAUCACUCUGGCUUUCUACUCA
Long non-coding RNA from Entelurus aequoreus (snake pipefish), 7617 nucleotides. RefSeq lists it as uncharacterized. NCBI's taxonomy places the organism in Eukaryota, Metazoa, Chordata, Actinopteri, Syngnathiformes, Syngnathidae. The transcript has 2 exons. The record is from RefSeq and is a predicted model, not a curated record.